RNAcentral lists this long non-coding RNA (1546 nucleotides) under Macaca fascicularis (crab-eating macaque). RNAcentral describes it as "lncRNA (ENSMFAG00000050172.1)". The record is from RNAcentral. Lineage: Eukaryota; Metazoa; Chordata; Mammalia; Primates; Cercopithecidae.
UUUUUUUUUUUUUUUUUUUUUGGAGACGGAGUCUUGUUAUGUUGCCCAGAUUGGAGUGUAGUGGUGCCAUCUUGGCCUCCCAGGUUCAAGUGAUUCUCCUGUCAGAGCCUCCUGAGUAGCUGGGAUUACAGGUGUCCGCCACCAUGCCUGACUACUUUUUGUAUUUUUAUAGAGACGGGGUUUCACCAUGUUGGCCAGGCUGGUCUCAAACUCCUGACCUCAAGUGGUCCACCCACCUCAGCCUCUCAAAGUACUAGGAUUACAGGUGUGAGCCACCGUGCCUGGCCUCUCUUCCCCUUUUGCUGGUCUUCCUGACCAGCAUGUUGAUGUCAUGUUAGGUGACAGUUAUUUUCUAAGUCAGGGUGGAAAUCACAGGUAGCAGAUGGCAUAGCAAACUGUCACAGAGGCUGGGAUUCCCUAAUCGUUAUGGAGCCACCAUUUUAUUCUAGGACUGCCUACCUUUACCUGAGAGAAAGACACUUUUAUCUUUUUGCCAUUGUUGUUUUGGACUUUUCAUCUGAGUAUUUCUCUUUUAUUUUGUUCAGACAACUACACCUAUCUGAUAUUAUCUUGUUCAGUUUUCUUUCUUAUUUGCUGUCUUCUCCCUCUAGAAUGCUAGUUUCGCGAAAAUAAAUACCUUGUCGUGUCUCUUGUUUCUGUUUGUUUCCUUAGCACAAUGCCUGGAAAAUAGUAAUGACUCAGUAAAUAUUUGUAGAUGAAUGAAUGAAGACUAGGAGAUUAGAAUGCAAUUCUUCUAAAGGUAGUUCGUUUCUGCUUUAAGAGACUAUGGAAUUUAGAAUUCCAAAGAAACUGGUAGGUUUGUUAUAUGCGAGGAAAUUGACUGAGGGGUUAUAUGACUCAAGCAACACACGACCCUUGUCUUGCUAAUUGUUGGCCAAGCUCCCUACCCAGGUCUGCGUUCUAACACACGACUGCCGCCUCUACUGUGUGUGGUGUUUGGUUGACAAGCACCUAUCAAGGAUGCUGUAGACAGGAUUGCUCCAUGGCGUAAGGUUUGGACUGGAUCACCUAUUGCCCUUCCCCACACACGUCGGGGUGUGAGCAUAGCUGAGACUUUUCAAGCCUUCCCAGGUACCACAGAGCUUGGAAAGCCCAGCACCUGCGGGCAGUUCAGUUGCAACUGGCGGGCAGCCGUAGCUGUUUAUUACCUGGGGCUCUCGGGAAGGCGAGCUCGUAGUGCUGGGGAGGACGUUUGUCUCAGGCAUUCCUCUGGCAACCCUCUUCCUCCAGCGGCUCCCAACAAAGACAUUUCAUUUAAUCCCUUUCUUCCACUCCCCUCCGCUCUACUUGGCUUGGCGUUGGAAGCUGAAGCACAAUUUGACCCAAGCCACCUCCUACUGCGCACCUGCCAGAGCGCUCGCGCCCCGGAGCCUGGCACGGCAUUGCGGGGGUGGGGAGGCGGCGCGUCCCCGAGCUGCGCUCCCUCGCUUACAGCCUCGGCUCUGGGGGCGAAGAUCCAUUCUACCUCCGCUCACCCAGCUGCGCCGCCGCGCGGGAGCGCGCCCCAGCGGAAGGCCUCUUGAGG